GGGACUGUAGCUCAGUCGGUUAGAGCACU
Molecule: transfer RNA, 29 nt
Filed under: uncultured Treponema sp.
Lineage: Bacteria; Pseudomonadati; Spirochaetota; Spirochaetia; Treponematales; Treponemataceae
Description: partial tRNA-Ile
Source: RNAcentral